ACAAGAAUCCGGGCCCCUCUGGCGAGGACGCUGACCCUCUCAGCAAAACCUCGCGAUGUCGGAUGACCUGU
Bradyrhizobium manausense is the source of this 71-nucleotide non-coding RNA. NCBI's taxonomy places the organism in Bacteria, Pseudomonadati, Pseudomonadota, Alphaproteobacteria, Hyphomicrobiales, Nitrobacteraceae. The record is from Rfam.